AGAGCGCGGGGCGAGGCGGUGCCGUGUGCAGAGCCCGCCCCUCGCUGCGAUUGGCCGGCUGUGCCGUCAGUCGUGGUUGUGGCGCGCUGAUUGGUGAGAGCGGGGCGAAGCACGGCCCCGCUGGCGGCCUGAGGGCGGCCCUGGCUGGGCAGCGGCGCCAUUGGCGGAGCGUCUGUGCGGGCCCGGGAGCGGCGGCAGCGGCCGGAGGCCGGGGAGGCGGCAUUGGCGGAGCUGGGAGGCGGCCCCGGCGCAGAUCUGAAAGAUGCUUUCUUUUGCCUCCCUAUCCAUGAAGCCAGCCAGAAAUUUUUUUGCACUUGAAUAGAAAAGCCCUAAAAGCAGGCACAAAACCUAGCUCACACGGUCCAUGUGCCUCAAGGCUUCAAAAUGCCCCACUCUGUUUGGAGAACAACUUGCAAAGAACCAGAGUUCUGGGAAACUCCACAGGAAGAAGGAAGAAGCCUUUCAAACUUCCUAGAACUCCAAGGAUACAAAGUAUUAAAGAAAAAGGCAGGGGCAUGGCAGGGUGGUGCCAGCUGUGGGUUUAUAAUUACAGACAGUUUGUCAGAUAGAGAUCUCCAGUGGACAAAGGAAGCCACUCGGGCCUUUCGCCAGCUAAAGAGUGCCCUCAUGUCAGCUCCAGCUUUAGGACUUCCAGAUUCUUUCUAUUCUCCCAUGUGGCUCAGGACUUGAAUUCAUACUGGAGGGCAGUUGCUUACUUUUCCAAGCAACUAGGUGCAAUGCCAAAGGAUGGCCAGGUUGCCUCAGAGCUGCAGCAGCAGUCGUGCUGAAUGUACAAGAAGCACGCAAGUUUACCCUGGGACAGAAAUUGACUCCACUAGUGUCCCACACAGUGCCCGCAGUACUGGAAGUAAAGGGUGGCCACCGGCUCUCACCACAGAGGUUCCUGAAGUACCAGGCCAUCAUGGUAGAACAAGAUGAUAUAGAGAGAGUGGUAACUAACAUUGUCAGUCCAGCUUCUUUUCUCAGUGGAAAUCAAGGAGAAGCAGUACACCACAACUGCUUGGAGACUACUGAAGUUACUUACUCCAGCCACCCAGACUUAAAGGACACUCCUUUGGACGAUGCAGAGACCUGGUUCACUGACAAGAGUAGCUAUGUUGCCAGUGGAAAGCGACCUGCUGGAUAUGCAGUCACUACCUGCAGAGAGGUAAUAGAAUCUGCACCCUUACCAGCAGGCACCUCUGUGCAGAAGGCCAAGAUUAUUGCACUGCCCCGUGCCUUGGAAACGGCAAAAGGAAAGAGAAUAAACAUUUAGACAGACUCUAGACAUGCAUUCGGAGUUGUGCAGGCACAUGGAGCUGUCUAGAGAGAGAGAGAGGGGACUGCUGACCUCACAAGGAGAGAACAUCAAACAUGCACAAGAGAUAAUCCGGCUGCUGGAAGUAUGCAUAUUAAAGCACACCAGAGAGUGAGCUCAGAAUUGGGAAAAAUAAAUGAGCUGGUGGAUGGAAAGCAGCAAAAGGUGAGGUAAUUAUGGACAGAUUUCCCUUAAAGGUAAGCCAGAAUAUAAUAAUACUAAUCAAAAGGGACAUAUAACCAACAGGGGUGGGCUACCAUUGAAAGGGAGCUGGUAAUCCCUCCCCAUUUGUGUAGUCACUAGUAAGAGAGCAGUACAAGAAAACACACUGGGGCCUAACUACUUAAAAGCUUUUAUAAAGUGUGGCUUCUUUCCCAGAUUGACCAAGACUGCCAGUGUUACACAGUGCAUCGAAAUGAAGUGUUGACUUUUUAAGUGGUAGCUUCCACAGGCUUUUUAGAACACAUAUUUGAUUGAAAGGAUCAUUGCCAGGAAUUUAUAUGCCACUAUCACUCAGGUCAACUGACAGUGUGAUCCUUGCCUCCAGACUAAACCCAAGAAUACCCCCAGACCAAAACUUGGUCACAUUGGGAGGGGCCAUGGACUCAGACAGCAGUAAAUUGGUAAAUUUGGUAAAUUGGCUGUUCAAAACCCCCAUGGAAAGGGGGGUGUCAGUAUUUAUGAGUAUUGACAAACACAUUUUCGGGGUGGCCAGAAGCAUUCCCCACCAGAACUGUCAAGGUGACCAGAGUAAAUAAUACCACUUUAAGAGUUCCAGUCACAAUAUUCCCAGACAAUCACAUUUUAUUUCCAGAAUAGUGCAAGAAACCUAUAUGGUGGCUUAAGUAGACAGGUCAAAGAAAAUGAAAAGACAUGUGGCUGGAAAUCCAAGCAGGGAGCUAAGUGAACCAGAACAUAACAUACAGCCUGGGAAUUAAGUAUACGUUAAGUCUCUUACAGAAAAGACUUUGGAACCACAGUGGGAAGGACCAUUCCAGAUGCUUCUCACCACCUUCACUGCAGUCAAGAUUAAGAAGCAGAAUGCCUGGAUCCACCAUGCUUGAAUGAAGCAGGCACCAGAAGCCCCUUGGAAAUUGACACCAAGAGACAAUGAACUGAGACUGAAACUUAUUCGGGCAAAAUGAGUGUAUUGCGGGGGGAGGGUAGUUUGUAAUUUUAUUUAUAGAAUUGCCUUGUGUAUAAUUGUAAUUAAAAUCCUGGAAUACCUCUAUCCAAAACAAUGCUGAAUGGCCUUGGUCCCAGGUUCUAAUCAGUACACUGGAUCUAUGAGAGAGCUGGCCACUGCAGCAGGUGGACUGGCAAACUUAGAACAACCCCUACAGUUAUCCCUAAAAGGCUGGGGUCCAAGAUCACAAGUUCAUAGUAGGAGCGCUUGCUAUGGUUCAAGAUAACGUGUCUUUAGCUUUCAGUUUUAUACAAGCACAGUUUUGGAUGCAGCCAACAGCAGCUUUGAUCAUAUGGGAGAGGGUGAAAAUAAUUCUCCAGCUGAAAUUCAAAGGAUUGUCUGGGAUAAUGCCAUUGAUUCUGAGAGAAAGUUCCAAUCCUGACUGACUAUAGUAAAUUUUCGGAUUAUAUAAAGAAAUCUCAGGAGCAUCUGUGACCUAUGAUCCUGCUUCUAAUGUGGCCACUGCCUUUGUACUUACUGUACAUAAUGCCACUGUUUAUGUUAUCCACCCCAUCAGCGCACUAGGAUUAAAUCAUGAAUCAGAACAUAGGGUGCAGGCAUGAAAGGUGAAUGAAAAGUGGCAAACAGUAAACUUAGAAUCUUGUGCUGCUGGGGAACAACUAGGGUACAUUUGUGAAAGCAAUACUAUUAAUGUGUUGUGGCAAACACAUUUCUCUCUCAGGAUUUUUGAUAGAGGUGCACAGAGAGAAAGAAAGAGAAAACUAUUUCUGCUCCUUGUUUUUCUCAUGUGGAAUGUGCUUGGAGAAUUGUUUACCUGGGGUGAUUGCUUGAUUGGAUUCUGGUGAGGAUUGUUUGAGCCUGGUGGCCAAUCAGGUCCACCUGUGUCUGGACUAUCAAGAACAGGGUCACAAGUUGUGAGUAGUUAGAUAUGGUAGUUAGAGAAAGUAGGUAUGUAGUUUUAGUAUCUUCCUUUAUAUAGUAUAUUAAUGUAUUAUAGCAUAGUUAUAAUAAAGAAAUCAUUCAUCCUUCUGAA
Molecule: long non-coding RNA, 3498 nt
Organism: Vidua chalybeata
Lineage: Eukaryota; Metazoa; Chordata; Aves; Passeriformes; Viduidae
Exons: 2
Source: RefSeq, a predicted model, not a curated record